UUCCUUUUUGCCUCCUUGCCCACUUUUUUGAAUGUGACUGUCGGUAACUGUGGUCCCAUGCCUGCUUCAACAUUAUAUUUUGGAAGCAGAGGGCCUGUUUCUUGAGUUUCACAGACUCAUCUGGAGAGCGACUUUGCAACUUUGGCCCAGAGUGGAUCAUACCGAGAGCCUCAUGCAGACCUGAUUGAGAGGAUGAGAUUUGGGACUUUUGGACUGAGAGACCCAUUCUGAUCAGUGAUUCCCAGAUGCGAGCUGCAGACUUGAGUCUACACCCAGUCAUGGGGGGGGGCUUCAACCACCACCUCUUCGGCCAAGUAACUGGCAUGUUCCAUGCAUAGCUCCCUGUUACUCUUCACGUAUUUGCUUGGGCACAUCGGACAUUCCCUGUACUGCUGUGCCAGGUGCUAAGAACGUGAAGAUGAAUAAGCCACAGACUUCUGGAAGGGACAGACAUGCACCUUUUGACCCAUGAUGAGAUGUGUUAAGCGCAGCAACUACGGUUCAAGAUUGCUCAGAGGAGGAUCGCCGUGGGAGGCACAGGGAAACAUCUACCAUGAGGUCAUUAACAGGAAAAGGACUUCAAACACAAAGAGCAAGUAUAAAGGCAUUCGAAUAAAAAGCAUUUUGUAACAAAGGAUAAAAAGAUGAAGAGCCGUGGAGUUCACAGGCGUGUUUGUGGACGGGUCUGUGAAGGCGGCGGGCAGCGACGACAAUGAUGUUCCACAAGUGGCCAGUGCGUGGCCAGGUCGUGGAGGACAAGGAGCAGGACAGGGGGGCUGGGCUUUGGCAGGACUCGUGAAGACACCGCCUCUUGUUGCCUCGAGAGGUGAGGGGUGCUGAGAUGGGGGCAGGUCCUGUGUGCGAGAAGCUGGGACGCAGGGAGACCAGAGGGAGCCCGUGGGUUUCAUGAGUAUCAACAAGUGGCCAGUGGAGUCUUUGGCUGGAAAGCAAGGGACACAUUUCACCAACACUGAGAAAGAAGUGUCUGCGGUUUUGAGGCCCCUAAGUGACUUGGCUGGUUGAGCAUCUGACUCUUGAUUUUGGCUCAGGUCAUGAUCUCAGGGUUGUGGGAUCAAGCCCUGAGU
Molecule: long non-coding RNA, 1085 nt
Organism: Suricata suricatta (meerkat)
Lineage: Eukaryota; Metazoa; Chordata; Mammalia; Carnivora; Herpestidae
Exons: 3
Source: RefSeq, a predicted model, not a curated record